AGGACGAACGCUGGCGGCGUGCCUAAUACAUGCAAGUCGAACGAGGUCCAUCCAGUGGAAACACCGGAGAAGGCCUAGUGGCGAACGGGUGAGUACCACGUGAGCAACCUGUCCCGAAGACCGGGAUAACACCGGGAAACCGAUGCUAAUACCGAAUACCCCCACCGGGUCACAUGGCCUGAUGAGGAAAUGGGUUUCUGCUUCGGGAGGGGCUCGCGGCCUAUCAGCUUGUUGGCAGGGUAAUGGCCUACCAAGGCAACGACGGGUAGCUGGUCUGAGAGGACGACCAGCCACACUGGGACUGAGACACGGCCCAGACUCCUACGGGAGGCAGC
RNAcentral lists this ribosomal RNA (335 nucleotides) under uncultured prokaryote. RNAcentral's name for it is "bacterial SSU rRNA". It matches the Rfam family "Bacterial small subunit ribosomal RNA", at positions 26 to 352 of the family's 1533-position model. The record is from RNAcentral.